GGCUAUAUAGCUCAGCUGGUUAGAGCACGUCACUCAUAAUGACGGGGUCGGUGGUUCGAGUCCACCUAUAGCCA
Molecule: transfer RNA, 74 nt
Filed under: Frateuria aurantia DSM 6220
Lineage: Bacteria; Pseudomonadati; Pseudomonadota; Gammaproteobacteria; Lysobacterales; Rhodanobacteraceae
Rfam family: tRNA
About the family: Transfer RNA (tRNA) molecules are approximately 80 nucleotides in length. Their secondary structure includes four short double-helical elements and three loops (D, anti-codon, and T loops). Further hydrogen bonds mediate the characteristic L-shaped molecular structure. tRNAs have two regions of fundamental functional importance: the anti-codon, which is responsible for specific mRNA codon recognition, and the 3' end, to which the tRNAs corresponding amino acid is attached (by aminoacyl-tRNA synthetases). tRNAs cope with the degeneracy of the genetic code in two manners: having more than one tRNA (with a specific anti-codon) for a particular amino acid; and 'wobble' base-pairing, i.e. permitting non-standard base-pairing at the 3rd anti-codon position.
Source: Rfam by way of RNAcentral